AUCCAGCUGAUGAGUCCCAAAUAGGACAAACGCGCGUCAAGCUGGAU
This 47-nucleotide non-coding RNA is filed under the name Schistosoma haematobium. The record is from RNAcentral. Lineage: Eukaryota; Metazoa; Platyhelminthes; Trematoda; Strigeidida; Schistosomatidae.